Molecule: ribosomal RNA, 497 nt
Filed under: uncultured bacterium
Lineage: Bacteria
Description: partial 16S ribosomal RNA
Rfam family: Bacterial small subunit ribosomal RNA
Source: RNAcentral
GACGAACGCUGGCGGCGUGCCUAAUACAUGCAAGUAGAACGCUGAAGAGAGGAGCUUGCUCUUCUUGGAUGAGUUGCGAACGGGUGAGUAACGCGUAGGUAACCUGCCUUGUAGCGGGGGAUAACUAUUGGAAACGAUAGCUAAUACCGCAUAACAAUGGAUGACCCAUGUCAUUUAUUUGAAAGGGGCAAAUGCUCCACUACAAGAUGGACCUGCGUUGUAUUAGCUAGUAGGUGAGGUAACGGCUCACCUAGGCGACGAUACAUAGCCGACCUGAGAGGGUGAUCGGCCACACUGGGACUGAGACACGGCCCAGACUCCUACGGGAGGCAGCAGUAGGGAAUCUUCGUCAAUGGGGGCAACCCUGACCGAGCAACGCCGCGUGAGUGAAGAAGGUUUUCGGAUCGUAAAGCUCUGUUGUAAGUCAAGAACGAGUGUGAGAGUGGAAAGUUCACACUGUGACGGUAGCUUACCAGAAAGGGACGGCUAACUACGUG